UACGUAGGGAGCAAGCGUUGUCCGGAAUCAUUGGGCGUAAAGCGCGCGUAGGCGGCCCUGUAAGUCCGUUGUGAAAGUCAAAGGCUCAACCUUUGAAAGCCGAUGGAUACUGCAGGGCUAGAGUCCGGAAGAGGCGAGUGGAAUUCCUGGUGUAGCGGUGAAAUGCGCAGAUAUCAGGAGGAACACCAAUUGCGAAGGCAGCUCGCUGGGACGUGACUGACGCUGAGACGCGAAAGCGUGGGGAGCAAACAGG
Molecule: ribosomal RNA, 253 nt
Filed under: uncultured bacterium
Lineage: Bacteria
Description: partial 16S ribosomal RNA
Rfam family: Bacterial small subunit ribosomal RNA
Source: RNAcentral